Molecule: transfer RNA, 72 nt
Filed under: Bos taurus (domestic cattle)
Lineage: Eukaryota; Metazoa; Chordata; Mammalia; Artiodactyla; Bovidae
Also listed under: 5 other names
Rfam family: tRNA
About the family: Transfer RNA (tRNA) molecules are approximately 80 nucleotides in length. Their secondary structure includes four short double-helical elements and three loops (D, anti-codon, and T loops).
Source: Rfam by way of RNAcentral
UCCCUGAUAGCUCAGUUGGUAAAGAAUCUGCCUACAAUGCAGGAGAUCCUGGUUCAAACCCUGGGUUGGGAA